CUGAUUUUUUUAAUCGAAAGCCUAUUUACACAACUACCUAUAACCGUACAGACUAUAUUUGUUUUCUAUGCAUUUCGUUUCGUCCGUCGAUGCCAUUAAGGUUAGAAAACGACGGAUGUUAAAUCGUUGAUGCUCGUUAUUUUCGUUCUGCAUGGAGCGAUGAUGACCGUUCGUCAAGAGAGCUGGAAUGACGUGUUUUCUCAGACUCAGUGUAAUUUAAUUCGCUUGCAGCUAUAAGUGUCACCAUUUCGGAACGUCUUUGACCAUCUGUUGUUCUACUGCGAAAUCCACAUAUAUAGCAUAACGCAUGGCUAACCAUCUACGAGAUAUAUUGUCUUCCACUUCCAGUAAGGGGGUGUUCAUUAUUUAUACCCGCGGGGUUGGCACCGAAGAGAAAUGGGUUGGGUAAGCCAUUUUUCUGGGGCAUGAAGGGUUGGAUAAAUAUUUUUUGAACAAAGCCUAUGGUUGGGUAAAUUAUUUUCAAUACAAACCUUCAAUUGAACAAAAUAUGAAAAUCCUUUAUUUAACAAAAUCGUCAUUCCAGGAAAUAUCCAUUCAUUCCCCACAUAGAAAACUAAACUCCAACUCCCCAUCCCAUGAUUACAACGAGAUAUGGUAGGACUGCAGAAACGUGGAGGCUUGGGAACAUAAUAUGAACUUGUGAAGGUACAAAUGAUUAUAUUUGACAUUCAGUUAGUGCACCAAAUAUGCACAGUACUGUUUAUACUAUAGUGGCCUAGCUUGUAUAAUAAUAUAUAUGUAUAUAUAUGGAAAUAUUUUGAAAUUGGGUUGGGUAAAAUAAAAAUCCAGGUCAUGCAAUAGUUGGGUAGGGAAAAAAAUGGUUGAUCGAAAGGGUGGGUGGUUGUUUUUUUCUCUUUUCGAUUAAUUUCUCUUCGGUACCAACCCCGAGUAUAAAUAAUGAACACUCCCUAAUCCACUGCAGCCUAAGAAGAACUGACGCUUUCUUUGUUCAGCCCUCGUGAGAUUUCUUGUAGCCUUGAUGAAUAUUCCAACCUUGCUACUAGCGAUGAUGUUCCUAGUG
This is a non-coding RNA of Paramuricea clavata, 1042 nucleotides long. The record is from the annotation of a GenBank genome assembly. NCBI's taxonomy places the organism in Eukaryota, Metazoa, Cnidaria, Anthozoa, Malacalcyonacea, Plexauridae.